CAGUCGCCACGGUAAUACGGAGGGUGCUAGCGUUGUUCGGAAUCACUGGGCGUAAAGGGCGCGUAGGCGGCCUGUUAAGUCGGAUGUGAAAGCCCGGGGCUCAACCCCGGAACUGCAUCCGAGACUGGCAGGCUUGAGACCGGGAGAGGAGGGUGGAAUAUCCAGUGUAGAGGUGAAAUUCGUAGAUAUUGGAUGGAACACCGGUGGCGAAAGCGGCUCUCUGGCCCGGAUCUGACACUGAGGUGCGAAAGCGUGGGGAGCAAACAGGAUUAGAUACCCGAGUAGUCCCUGUCUCUUAUAC
Molecule: ribosomal RNA, 301 nt
Filed under: uncultured bacterium
Lineage: Bacteria
Description: partial 16S ribosomal RNA
Rfam family: Bacterial small subunit ribosomal RNA
Source: RNAcentral